RNAcentral lists this ribosomal RNA (460 nucleotides) under uncultured bacterium. RNAcentral's name for it is "partial 16S ribosomal RNA". It matches the Rfam family "Bacterial small subunit ribosomal RNA", at positions 338 to 795 of the family's 1533-position model. The record is from RNAcentral.
CCUACGGGAGGCUGCAGUGAGGAAUCUUCGUCAAUGGCCGUAAGGCUGAACCAGCCAAGUCGCGUGAAGGAAGAAGGAUCUAUGGUUUGUAAACUUCUUUUUUAGGGGAAUAAAGGUAUCCACGUGUGUAUAUUUGCAUGUACUUUAUGAAUAAGGAUCGGCUAACUCCGUUCCAGCAGCCGCGGUAAUACGGAGGAUCCGAGCGUUAUCCGGAUUUAUUGGGUUUAAAGGGAGCGUAGAUGGGUUGUUAAGUCAGUUGUGAAAGUUUGCGGCUCAACCGUAAAAUUGCAAUUGAUACUGGCAGUCUUGAGUACAGAUGAGGUAAGCGGAAUUCGUGGUGUAGCGGUGAAAUGCUUAGAUAUCACGAAGAACCCCGAUUGCGAAGGCAGCUUACUAAACUGUGACUGACAUUGAUGCUCGAAAGUGUGGGUAUCAAACAGGAUUAGAUACCCCAGUAGUC